RNAcentral lists this ribosomal RNA (253 nucleotides) under uncultured bacterium. RNAcentral describes it as "partial 16S ribosomal RNA". It matches the Rfam family "Bacterial small subunit ribosomal RNA", at positions 524 to 775 of the family's 1533-position model. The record is from RNAcentral.
UACGGGGGGGUGCGAGCGUUGUCCGGAAUCACUGGGCGUAAAGGGCGCGUAGGUGGUUUGAUAAGGGUGUGGUGAAAGUCCGGAGCUCAACUCCGGAUCUGCCGUGCCGACCUGUCAAACUCGAGGGCUGUAGAGGCAGACGGAAUUCCGGGUGUAGCGGUGGAAUGCGUAGAGAUCCGGAGGAAGACCGGUGGCGAAGGCGGUCUGCUGGGCAGUUCUGACACUGAGGCGCGACAGCGUGGGGAGCAACAGG